Molecule: ribosomal RNA, 254 nt
Filed under: uncultured bacterium
Lineage: Bacteria
Description: partial 16S ribosomal RNA
Rfam family: Bacterial small subunit ribosomal RNA
Source: RNAcentral
UACAGAGGUCUCAAGCGUUGUUCGGAUUCAUUGGGCGUAAAGGGUGCGUAGGCGGCUUUGUAAGUUAGAGGUGAAAGCCCGGGGCUCAACUCCGGAAUUGCCUUUAAGACUGCAUCGCUAGAAUUGUGGAGAGGUAAGUGGAAUUCCGAGUGUAGAGGUGAAAUUCGUAGAUAUUCGGAAGAACACCAGUGGCGAAGGCGACUUACUGGACACAUAUUGACGCUGAGGUGCGAAAGCGUGGGGAGCAAACAGGG